AUACGGAGGGUGCAAGCGUUGUUCGGAAUCACUGGGCGUAAAGGGCGCGCAGGCGGUUUGGUAAGUCAGAUGUGAAAGCCCAUGGCUCAACCAGGGAAGUGCGUUUGAAACUGUCAGACUUGAGUACUAGAGGGGAAAGUGGAAUUCCCGGUGUAGAGGUGAAAUUCGUAGAUAUCGGGAGGAAUACCGGUGGCGAAGGCGACUUUCUGGCUAGAUACUGACGCUGAGGUGCGAAAGCGUGGGGAGCAAACAGGAUUAGAAACCCGAGUAGUCC
Molecule: ribosomal RNA, 274 nt
Filed under: uncultured bacterium
Lineage: Bacteria
Description: partial 16S ribosomal RNA
Rfam family: Bacterial small subunit ribosomal RNA
Source: RNAcentral